This 500-nucleotide ribosomal RNA is filed under the name uncultured Gram-positive bacterium. Its description in RNAcentral is "bacterial SSU rRNA". It matches the Rfam family "Bacterial small subunit ribosomal RNA", at positions 8 to 521 of the family's 1533-position model. The record is from RNAcentral.
AGAGUUUGAUCCUGGCUCAGGACGAACGCUGGCGGCGCGCCUAACACAUGCAAGUCGAACGAGAGAGAGGAAGCUUGCUUCCUCAAUCGAGUGGCGAACGGGUGAGUAACGCGUGAGGAACCUGCCUCAAAGAGGGGGACAACAGUUGGAAACGACUGCUAAUACCGCAUAAGCCCACAGGUCGGCAUCGACCAGAGGGAAAAGGAGCAAUCCGCUUUGAGAUGGCCUCGCGUCCGAUUAGCUAGUUGGUGAGGUAACGGCCCACCAAGGCGACGAUCGGUAGCCAGACUGAGAGGUUGAACGGCCACAUUGGGACUGAGACACGGCCCAGACUCCUACGGGAGGCAGCAGUGGGGAAUAUUGCACAAUGGGGGAAACCCUGAUGCAGCGACGCCGCGUGGAGGAAGAAGGUCUUCGGAUUGUAAACUCCUGUUGUUGAGGAAGAUAAUGACGGUACUCAACAAGGAAGUGACGGCUAACUACGUGCCAGCAGCCGCGGU